RNAcentral lists this long non-coding RNA (1438 nucleotides) under Dicentrarchus labrax (European seabass). RNAcentral describes it as "lncRNA (ENSDLAG00005029979.1)". The record is from RNAcentral. Lineage: Eukaryota; Metazoa; Chordata; Actinopteri; Moronidae.
AUGCUGACACUCCUGGCCAUAAGAUGGAACCAGCAGAAAUGUCCAAACCUGGCUACUGGACUUUCCCAGAGAUACCAUAAGACAUCUAAAGCUUUCAAUAUCCCGAUUGGGGACCUGGAAACCCUGAAAGCCCAGCAUCAACUGGGUGAACAAACUGUGGAAGAAUUUGUGCAAGAAGUAAAAGAAUGGGCCGAUGGAGAAAUUGACCAUCAAGGCACACCACAAGCUUUGUGUAAGAAGAUUGAGGCCUUCACAACCAGCAUCAACACGAGAGCUCAACUCCUAUACUGGAAAAAUGACCGCAACAAAGGCCGACAUAGAAUUCGCAGAAAAAUAAGGCAACAGAAGACCACUUUGAAGGCCAUGGUAGCGGAGUACAACAGUCUCGUUGCAUGGAUAGCGUUCUGGACACAGAAUAGCUCUGCUGAUUUCAGCACAAAGAAAGAAGUCUUCGAUAGGGUCAUGGGUGUUCGAAGGCUUCAAGAGGAGAAGAAGAUCCUUGUGAAAGAAAUGAAGCAGCACUGGGAGUCUCUCAAAGCCCAUGCCAGGGUCUUGUCCGAGUUGUCUCAGCAUCAGAGUGAAGACGCCAUGCAAAGUAAAUGCGGCCUUGUACUUAAUUUUUUUAAAUUUGAAUGUUUCACAAAGUUAUGUUUAAAUUGUGAAAGACAUGUUAUUUACCUGGAUAGUGACAUAUUUUAUCCCUUCUUAAGGACAUCUCACAGAGAAAGCAACAAAGGGUCACACCUGCCUCAUCCUCAGAAGGCAGUGGGAAAUGAGAGAGCUGAAGCGGCAUACAAGAAAACACUACCUGCAUGUGCUGUCAUCAGCAGAUGACAUAAUGGACACAAUGGACAGUUCAGAUGAGUUCGACAUUAGCUGUGAAGAUUCAGAGUCUGAUGCAAUGUAAAACAGGAAGAUGUGGUGCUCAUGAUCACAGUGCACCGUGUGCGACACAUGGUCACACAGAGCAUGUGGCUUUAAAAAAGCCACAUGCUCUUAAAAACUAACGUAUGUGCUCAUUGUCAGGAUUAAGUUGGAGAUGACAGUUGUAGUUGUAUUAGGUUGUUGUUAUUUCUGCAUUUGGUUUUGAAAUGUUUAAUCACUUAUAUAAGGUUUGAUUUUUCUACUGGGUUGUGGGAAGUUCCUGGUUAAUGUUGUCUUACAUCUUUACAACACAAACCACUGUCCUUUACUGUCUUAUCUUUGAUUCACGUUCAGUUCUGCAUCUUUUCAGGGAUUUUCUUUCCAGUUGAUCUUUACUGUUUGAUUAAUAAUUGUUCUUUAAUGUUUAAUUAAACAAAGGCACAAUAAAGCUACAUUUCUGAUUGAGUCCUUGGAUGUUACUACUGUUUUAGGUUAGACUUAUUUUAUCUGAGCAAUUCCCACAUGCUUUCAGAGUACAUGAAUUCACUAUAUGGCAAGAGGAGAGAUUCAGAGG